CCUGUCUCAAAAUAAAAUAUAAAAAGGGCUGGGGAUGUGGCUCAGUGAUUAAGUACCCCUGAGUUCAAUCCCUGGUACCAAAAAAAAAAAAGACCCAGUUUAAAGCCAGGUGUGGUGGCACACUCCUGUAAUCCCAACAACUUGGGAGGCUAAGGCAGGAGGAUCACUUGUUUAUGGCAUGCCAUCCAUCCAUCCAUCCCACCACCACCACCUCUGAUGGUCUCCUCCACUUCAUUCCCGAUUGCCCUCCUGACUUGGCUCCUCCCCCUUUUUGUGAACACCCGGGUUGUAAGAGGUCCCAGGAUGCUGCAGCCAGACUUACAGGUCUCAGUCAGGCAGGCUUGGAUGUGAAUCCUACUUCAUGUGACCUUGGGCAGGUCAUUUAUCUCCUCUCUGCAUUGAUUACUUUAUCCAUAAAAUGGGGAUAAACAAAUAUCUCGCAGGGCUCUGUGAACAACCCAAUGAGGGGUUGUUCCUGAAGGCACUUGGUGUGGCACCUUGAAGUAGUGUGGCCUGGACCUGUCAGGAUGCUUCAUUGUAAGAACCUAAUUUAAAAGUUUUCUUUUACACUUAGCUGGUUUGGAUGAGGAUCCAAAGAGAGUCUACAUGUUACAGUUGGUGAGCACAGUUCUUAAGACUCCAUAUAUUUUUCUUUCAUCUCAUUUUAGUGCCAUUUACUUUAUUUAAUUUUUUAACUUAAUUUUAUUUUAAUUUUUGACAAUGCAGGAAUGUAGGACCAUGGAUUUUAGACAAGCACUCUGCCACUAAGCUACAUCCCAGCCCUUUUAGUAUGGUCUAUUUUUUUGGGGGGGGUAUCAGGGAUUGGACUCAGGAGCACUCGACCACUGGAGCCAUGUCCCCAUCCCUAUUUUGUAUUUUAUUUAGAGACAGGGUCUCACUGAGUUGCUUAGGACCUUGCCAUUGCUGAGGCUGGCUCUGAACUUGCGAUCCUCCUGACUCAGCCUCCCAAACUGCUGGGAUUAUAGGUGUGCACCACCAUACCCAGCUAGUGUGGUCUAUUUUGAUGGUCAUUCAUUCCUAUAAAAUUCUCUGCAUUCAAGAUUUAAGUAAUUGCUCCCUGAUGGUGUUAUUUAACCUGUUCUUCUAUCCCUUUUAUUUCCUAUAAACUAAUAAUUAAGUUUGGAUGACUACAUUCAAGAUGACAGUGAUCACAAUUAUUCUGGCAAGAACAGGGAGAAGGUGGUGCUGCAUAUGUACUGCAUCAUAGCAGGAGAUACAGAAUGUCUAGUCCUACUUUUGGUAAUGGUAAGAUUGAUUGAUGGUGCUAGGUGCAUUGGCACAUGCCUAUAAUCCCACUGGCUUGUGAGGCUGAGGCAGGAGAAUGGCAAGUUCAAAGUCAGCCUCAGCAGCAAGGCCUUAAGCAACUCAUUGAGACCCUAAAUAAAAUAUAAAAUGGAUGGGGAUGUGGCUUGGUGGUUAAGCCUCCCUGGGUUCAAUCUCCUGUACAAAAAAAAAAAAAAAAAAUUUGAUUGAUGGAAUCUUUCUUUUCCUGGCAAUCAUGGAAGUUUGAACAUAACCAGGGUAUUAUGAAGGUAAGAAAUUAUUGCUAAAUAUUUUGGGUGUAAUUAUAUAUUACAUUAUGGUAUUGUGGUUGGGUAAAAUAAAAUUCCUUGUCUGACAUACAACAUGGGCGAAUUUCAAAACAUGCUGAGUGAAAACAACAACAACAACAAAACAAACCAACCAACCCAGAUCCAUACUUAUUGAUUUCAAUUAUAUGGAACAUUCUGGAGCAAGCAAAAUGAACCUAUAAGUGACGAAAAACACGGCACGGGUUGCCUCAGCAAUGGCGGAGGCUGGGGACUGACUGUGGAGGGAUUUUGAGGGUGAUGGAAACAUUUUGUAUUUUGAAUGUGGUGGUGAUUGCAUGGAUAUAUACAGCUGUCAAAACUAAUUGAAUCAUGCACUUAAAAUGAAUGUUUUAUUGUAUGAAAAUUAAGGUGUAUUUUGAUGUUUGUGAAUAAAGUUGAUUUUAAAAGGAAAUAAAAUUACAACUAGAAUAAAAAGAAUUCAUUUUUAUAGUCAUAAAACUGUAAUAUGCCUCUGAGGGGAAACUAGUAAUAUGUGACUACAGAUAAAAUUAUAUUCAAGACAAAAGAGAAGACCUACACGUAUAGAUAAUGGACUGUGUUCAUGGGCAGAUGUCUCAAUGGUCAUCCCAAAUUACUCUAUAAAUUAAAUGUUUUGUUGAAAGAGCUGAGUUUUUAAAGUUCGUAUCUGUUACUAAUAAAUACUGAAGUGGCAUAAUGUUUGGGAUUUGGCUUAAUAUGUUCAAAGAAAAUAAUGUGAAAGAAGAAAUGAAGAAAUCAAUAUUUAUCCUAUGCUGAGAAUUGUUGAAGCUGAAUGAGGGGUACAAAAGAGUUUAUUAUAUAAUUCUUUUGAUUUUAUAUAUUUGGAAUUU
Molecule: long non-coding RNA, 2422 nt
Filed under: Marmota monax (woodchuck)
Lineage: Eukaryota; Metazoa; Chordata; Mammalia; Rodentia; Sciuridae
Source: RNAcentral